Molecule: ribosomal RNA, 253 nt
Filed under: uncultured bacterium
Lineage: Bacteria
Description: partial 16S ribosomal RNA
Rfam family: Bacterial small subunit ribosomal RNA
Source: RNAcentral
UACGUAGGGUGCGAGCGUUGUCCGGAAUUACUGGGCGUAAAGAGCUCGUAGGUGGUUUGUCGCGUUGUCCAUGAAAUUCCCUGGCUUAACUGGGGGCGUGCGGGCGAUACGGGCAGACUGGAGUACUGCAGGGGAGACUGGAAUUCCUGGUGUAGCGGUGGAAUGCGCAGAUAUCAGGAGGAACACCGGUGGCGAAGGCGGUUCUCUGGGCAUGUCCUGACGCUGAGGAGCGAAAGUGUGGGGAGCGAACAGG